AGCCCAAGAUUGAAAGCUGGCGUCUUCGGCGUCCGCAUUGUAAUCUCAAGAAGUGUUUUCCGCUUCGGACCAUGCCUAAGUCCCUUGGAAAAGGGCAUCAUAGAGGGUGAUAAUCCCGUACAUGGCAUGGAGCGCCCGAAGCUUUGUGAUACGCUUUCUAAGAGUCGAGUUGUUUGGGAAUGCAGCUCAAAAUGGGUGGUAAAUGCCAUCUAAGGCUAAAUAUUGGGGAGAGACCGAUAGCGAACAAGUACAGUGAUGGAAAGAUGAAAAGAACUUUGAAAAGAGAGUUAAACAGUACGUGAAAUUGCCAAAAGGGAAGGGUAGGAGGUCAGAGAUGCGUCUUGGGAUUCAGCCUUGCUUUUGCCUGGUGUUUUUCCCAAGCUGCAGGCCAACGUCGGUUUUGGGCACUGGAGAAGGGUAGGAGGAACGUGGCACCUCUCGGGGUGUGUUAUAGCCUCCUACUGGAUACAGCGACCGAGACCGAGGAACGCAGCGUACUCGUAAGAGCGGGCCUUUUGGCACCUUUACGCUUAGGGCGUUGGCAUAAUGGCCCUCUACCACCCGUCUUG
RNAcentral lists this ribosomal RNA (569 nucleotides) under uncultured Pseudozyma. RNAcentral describes it as "eukaryotic LSU rRNA". It matches the Rfam family "Eukaryotic large subunit ribosomal RNA", at positions 106 to 656 of the family's 3401-position model. The record is from RNAcentral. Lineage: Eukaryota; Fungi; Basidiomycota; Ustilaginomycetes; Ustilaginales; Ustilaginaceae.